Molecule: long non-coding RNA, 14374 nt
Organism: Cavia porcellus (domestic guinea pig)
Lineage: Eukaryota; Metazoa; Chordata; Mammalia; Rodentia; Caviidae
Exons: 3
Source: RefSeq, a predicted model, not a curated record
UUUGGUUCUCAGCUGGGCCUGCAGCCACAUGCCUCUGAACUGGGUCACAUCCCCUGGUCAGAGCUUAUGCCUCAGAGCAGAGCCUGCUGUGUGGGAAAGCAGAAUCUAGCAACAGCCAACCCUGAGGACAGGUGGUGCCCGCUGGAGGGGUUCAAGGCUGUCAGCUGGGCUGCCGACCUGCCCAGAGGCUCUGCGGAUGGCAACGGUCCCCUCCCAGCUGGCCAUCGAGGAAAGCCAGGGAGCUCUCUCCCAGGCUCUCGCCAGCUGGAACGGGCACCCACAAAGAAGCGGGCACCGCCUGAGGCCAGCUGGCCCUCUGUGCCCAGCAAGAGCCGAGCUCCCUACGUCACUUCCCUGUCAUCUGUCGACAGGGAUGAUUCUCUACACCUGAUCGCUCUGGUCAGGAUGUGUGUGUGGCGGGCGGCCCAACGCGCAGGAGCUCAGCACGCAGUGGCUGAUUGUCCGAGUGACCACUGGGAGGCCCCAGUGACAGCAUGUGCUGUUGAAGACAGGAAGGUGCAGGAAGUAAGUAGAUAUUCACUCCCUCGCUCUGGUCCACGUCGCUAAGGUGACCACACUCAGAAUAGCAGGGAGAAGCCGAGAGACACCGGCGGGUGUGCCCAACAUGCAGUGUUUCAAAGAGCCCCACGGAGGAAUCCUUGACAUUUACCGCAGCAGAGGAAGCAUUCGGGCAGACACUCUCGUGUUCCUAGAAAGGAAGUCCUCGGUGUCUCGUCAGUGUCUUCCUAUAAUUAGUGUCAGACUGCAAUAGUAAUUAUACAAUUAGUUAUGUCAUGUAGAAUAUAAUUGAUAAACAUAAUGUUAUCCCAGGGAAAAUAAUGAUGGGCUAGAAAGUUCAUUUGGAAGAGAAUAACUGAGAAACUGUGGGACCAGUGGCAUGUGGCUCAGCGGUAGCACCUGUGUGGCAUGCACGAGGCCCUGAGUUACAGCCCCUACACACACAAAUCCUGUGAUUGUGACAGAGAUUAUUAUUAUUAUUAUUAUUUGGUAUAGGAGAUUGAGCUCACGACCUUGCACUUACCAGGCAGGUGCUUGAGCCACUGAGCUAAAUCCCCAGCUAAGCAGAUCUUAUCUGCUGGAAACCUGGCCUACUAUAAAGUGCAGAUAAGGAGGACAGUGUGGGUUGUGCCCAGGAGCUCCUGCUCUGGUCAAGGCUUAGGAAGCAUUGGUGAUGUGCCCCUUCUGUUGGGUGCUGUGGGCCCCCACUUGAGGACAGUGUGACCCCUGCCCCCACGGGCCUGGCUGUUCCCCAUCUCCCCUCUGGCUGUGAGUCCUGUGACCUCCCGAGCCUCUUCCCCCAUCCAAGUCCCCAGGUGGGGUUCAGGGCAGCACUCCAGGGAACCAGGGAAUGAGGCUGCUGAAGCCUUGGUGCUCUGCAGGGGGUGCCUGCAGGAACCCACAGUUGGUGAUUAUUUUAUCCCAUGAAAAUGACAGUGAAUAGGUGGACUGUUCGCUGGUUUGGGGGGCCAGGAGAAGCCCCGGGCACUUGCUCCGUCCUGGCCGCGGUGCUCUUGGCUCCGGUCCACAGAGCUAGUAUCCCCUGGGCAGCAGGGAACAGAUGGAGGUGGAGCCUCGGAGUAUUGUCCUGGGCCCCUGCUCCUCCUCUGCCCUCAGCUGGCUUUCCAGGUGGUUUUGUGGUUGUCUUGUGAUUGUUUUUCCUGAUCCAGCCCCACGGGCGGCCCUCCCUACCCCCUUCAAGUUCAGACUUGCAGAAGCUCAACCAGGCAGCCAGAAGCUCGCAGACCUCCUCGGUGGGGAAGGGCUGCUGUCCAGGCAGCUGUGUGUCUCUGUUGCCUGCCUGGGGUGCACCUGUACCUUGCAGAUCUAGGUUCCCACUCAGCCAGGCUCCCCACAUCCCAUGGGUUUCCAGCUGGGAUAGAAUAACGUCUCUUGGGACAAUUUGCCGGGAGUGACUCUGAGAGCACGGUGACAGAGAUUCUCUGUGUCCUAUGUGCCAUCAGGGCCGCCCAGGUCCCCGUGGGACUGCCAUCAUGACCGUCCCCUCUGAUGGGGAGAGCAGCAGCUCGGGUAGAAGUGGGAUGCUCUGAGGUGGCAGGUGGAUUGGUGGGAAGAGAACUGGAUGGGAAGUCCUGUCAUGGUCCCUGGGUUGGAGUCAUCGAGUCCUAGAAGCUGUGGUGACUGUGAUUUGGCUGAGCUCUCUGUCUUCUUGAAGCCAGUGUCCUGUUUGUCUGUGGUCCUCAUGAGCAUGGCCAUGUGUCCUGGAGGUGGCCCUACACUGCAUAAAGGAGUAGGGGCCACAGGGACUGGGUAGAGUCAUGGCCAUGUGACAAGUGACCUUGCACUAUAGCACUGGAUGGGGCUUCAUCCAGAGGGCUCUACCCCAUCCAGCUGGGCCUCAUCCAUGGUCACUUGGACACGGAAGGCAUGAGUACCUGGACAUCAGUAGAGACAGAACUUAGAGAUUGGGCAGAGUUGAGUGUCCCUUGCACUGUGCUCCGUGUCCCUGAGCUGUGCCAUCCAUCCCUUUCCUCCCUGGCUGGUAACCUGUGCCAACACCCAUUUCUCCCAUCUCUGUAAAGGGUACCAUCUGCCCCACAUUCCUCAGGCUCCACGCACAGGGUCCUGCAGUCCUCCCACUCGGAGGCGGGAUAAGAGGAUCGCUGCAAGGUCCUGGCCAGCCUGGACUACAAGGAAGAUCCUGUGUCCAAAAACCCAAAGGAAAAUAAAAGCCAGAGAAGCCACCUGGCUCCCUGGCUGCCUCCCUUCCACACAGAAGCCGGAGCCAGAACAGCUGAGAGUGUGCAGGUCUCCGUGUCACUGAAGGCCUCAGCCCCAGCCUCCCAGGGCAGGAGGCGAGGCGCGGGGCGCCCCAGGUCCCCAGCCCUCCGCACCGGGAGGCUCCUGUCUCGGGGAGAUGUGCUCCACUUCCUGCUCAGCGUUCCCUGUAACGAUGGUAACGCUUCUGCCCCAUUUCUUGAUUGGUUCAGAACUCGGGGAGGAAGGGAGACCUUCACAGCGCCCCCAACCCCCAUAGAAACACCACCACUCGCACCUCCGUGGCGUUUUAUAGGUCAAAGAACUCUCCUAUUUAUAGCCUCCUGGAAUCCUCUCUUCAGCUGCACAUACAGUGGUUAUUAUUAGCCUUUCCUUUACUAAUAAAAAAUGAAUACAGAAUUCAGGCAACGCCUGGAAUUCAGAGCUCACAAAAUUUUACCAUCACAGCGUGAGGUUUGAGUUCCUAUUAAAAUUGUUUUUUUUUUUUUACUAAAUUAUGAUAGUAAUCAAAUCAUGGUGGCAUCGGUGGGGGGAGAGGAAUUCAGGUCAAUGUAAGACCCACUUCCGGGGUGGUGACCAGACAGGAGCAGCUCAGGGGAGUCUCUCUGUUUACACCUGUGAUGACACAGCAUACACACACUCCCCAGAUGAGCGUGCAAACUCGGUGACAUCUGAACAAGGUCUGUGGUUGUUAGAGGAUGGUAUUGUUUGUAUCAAAUCGAAGUUCCUGAUUUUGAAGCUGUGCUAUGGAGACGUAAGAUGUUAGUGUUGGGGGAAGCCCGCUGGGGAAGGUACACGGGAACACUGUAUUAAUUUUGCAGCUUGUCAGUCUUAUUUUAUUUCAAAAUAAAAAUUUAAACACAUGCGGCUUCCACUGGAAAGAAGGUAUUAAGUUGAAUUCUGAGAAGGCAAAUGAACUUCCGCUUCCCUGCCGAUUGCAGUCCAUUCCCAGGGAUUCUCUGGAUCACAGUCCAGUGUGAGGGACUCUGGAACCACAUCAGGGCCCAGGGGGAAGGAGUGCAUUAAUCGAUUGGUGAUGUCUGCUCUGGACUGCAGAAGUGACUUGGGGGUCCUGGAGCAGGCACCUGCUGUCUGUGUGCACAGUUCCUGGUAGCUCUGCUGGGCCCACAGCAGUGACAGCAGAAGACAGUCCUGAGGGAGGGAGGAGGAGGGCGGCAGGUGCGCUCAAUGAUUCCCUUUAUGCCAAGUUUAAGAAGAGGCAGCAGGAAGCCACGGAGGCUUCUCAUGGGGAACGACCAGCAGGCGGCAUGCAGGUGAUGGCACGGUUCCCUUUCUUCAUAGGAGCUUUGGUUUCCCCCGUGUGUGUGUUCGCUACAAGUUAUUGACCUGCACUCUAAGACCUGUGCAUUUUAUUCUCUAUCAAUUAGACCUCGAUGAUUAAAAAUAAAGAGGAGCACAGGGCAGGUCUGUGCAGUGAAAACUGUGCCCAUUGGGAAGCAGAGUGGGAAACUCUCGGUCAUAUCAUUGCAGGGAAUUCCUCCUGGUGGGAUCCAGUGUUCAAAUGGACGGAGUUUUGCUGUACCCUUGGCCAUGGAACUGUGUGGGAUAAAAUCCCAGCCCUGUCACUGGCUAACUGGGUGCCCUUGGGCUACUGGUUAAUCCUCGUGCCUCAGUUUCCUCAGCUGUCACAUGAGGGUAACAAGAGUGCCCGCCUCCUGGUCUCUGUGAGUCCAGUGACUUAAUCAGAGAGGAGUUUAGAAGUGCAUCGUGGUGUACAAGAGCUGCUGCUGGGUGAUGACUACUCUGCUCUUUAAUUUGUAUUAGUAGUGUUUUCAGUACCUAAUGAUUACAUGCGUCAGGGAGCUGGUGCAUGCACAAAUCACGUCUCGGUUCUGUUUUCAUCCCCUUCCCUUCUCCUUCCUUUUCUCUCCUUUCAUCUCUGGUCCUUUUCCUUUUGCAAAAGAUCCGUGUCCUUGUUUCUCAUUAUCUAUUUCUCAUUUUGAACUUCAUUUACAUUUUGGGUUUUUUUCAAAUAAAAGAAGCCAUGCGAUAUUUAAGCUUAUGUGACCGAUUUAUUUUACUUGACAUUAUGAUCUCAAGGUGCAUCCAUGUUCUUACAAAUGACUCGGGUUUAUCAUUCUUGACGGCAUGGUGGCAUUCCACUGGGUAUAAAUACCACACUUUACUACGGCUCCUAUGGCUGACAGUUGUCCCUGUGAACACUCUGGUGCCAGGUUGAACCCGAAAAGCUUCCUGCGGCAUAGCUGAGACUUCCUGGGUGGAAACUCGGGGAAUGAAUGCUCCAGGAAGGCAACAGGGAUAUAAAUAAAUGCUCCUUGGCUCCCUGAAGUUAAGUCUGAGCCCUCAGAGUGAGCUGUGGCCCAGGCCUCACCUGCUCCCAUUCUGUGCCCUCAAGUGCUGGGUGAGUGCAUAGAGAGGUCACCCACGCCUCUGGGGAUUCAUUUCUUCCUCUUGGGCAGCAGAAGGGGAUCCAAGCCCUCCACCCUCCACCUGUGUCCUUUCCCCAGCUGCUGGUUUGAGAGCCUUGUUUGCAGGGUCGCUGGCCUCCCUCCUUUGGGGUUUAGUCUUUGGCUGGGGCCAACGUGGAGCAGCCUGGUGGGUGGCUGGGUGCUGUUUCUUUCCAGGAAGAAGUGUGGGCUGGACCCAGCAGAUCUGGCUGAACCGGGAGGGGAAGCAGAAGUUGUCCAGGGGCCCUCGCCUUGGGGAGAAGGAAGGAAGCAGUGGUCAGGGGCUGGCUGGAUUCCAGGUGGCAGGGGAUGGCCAGAACUAGGUGCCUCUCAUCCGCCCCCCCCCCCAGGGUCCCCAGAGACAGAGGAACAGGAAGGAAAGCAGGCCGCAGGCUGUGCAGGUGGCUUGGGGGCAGUACCGAAGUUUCCACAGAGCCAGGAACUCACCCACCAGAGAAGCUAGUAGUGGAGGGGGCUGUCCACAGGUGCUGGGAGACCAAGGCUUCCUUGGAAAACCAGUCUGUCUUUAUUUCACUGUCCACCCAUGCACCCAAAGCCUAUGUCCGUCCACCUCUCUGUCCACCCAGAGACAUUUGAUUGUGUCCAUGUUGUGUCAGGCAGGAGGCGUGUGCAGGUGGAUACAGAAUUUAAGAUCAAAGGGCUCCUUCCUACUCCGGGAUCCAAAUAGGAUCCUGGUGCUUACAGUACAGUACUGACCACACAGUGGGACUCAGAGAGGGACAGGAUGCUGGGUGCACAGAAGAGGGACACCUGGUCCCUGUGCCACUCAGGGCAGGCUUCCUGGAGGAGGAAGCCAUUGUGAACGUGGAAGAUCUAAUGUGCUAUGGUGGGGUCCAGGAUUCUAAGAGGCAGGUGGGUCUUAUCCAGUAUCUCCUGCCCCAGCUGGAAGCAAGUGCCGUGGGGCAGACAGAGGCACAGGACAAAAGGAUUCCUCCAUCCCUAGCUGCAAGGAGGAGCUGCCCCUACAGAGCAGGACACGGGCUUUGUACCGCUGUGAGAACAAUCAAUAAACCUCUGUUAUCUUAAGCCAUGCAUGUGGGGUGUUCUUUUGCAAGAGCGCCUCAUAUUUCCUUAAAGAAUGCACCCCACACCCUGUGAAGACAGGGAGAGGAGGGGAGGAGUGUGACAGAGGGAACUGAAUGUGUUCCAGCCCUAGGAAAGGACAGGAAGGUGUACUGAGCCCACGCUAAGCCGUAGGGGCUCCAUCAUAAGCCAGUGGGGUCCCCUGGGCUGGACCCUCAGGCAUGCGUGUCUCUUCCCUCAGGCUCAGAGAUCCCAGGUUCCUGAAUCACUGAUCAAAGUCCCCAAUCAGUGAGUGGCAUUUGGGGCUCAAACCCAGGUCCCCUAAGCACCCAGGAAAACCAAAUAAAUGUCCCAGAUGUUCUGGUUCCCCUUCUGGGGAAGCCCAAAGAGGCUUACACCGGCUACGUGAGUCCACCCACGUCAACCAGCUCCCACCCGUGGCUGGGAGGUAAGGGAAGUUACCUGCUCCUCUCUCCAGCAAUCUGGACAGAGUGAGCGGUGGGGCACCCAGCUCCCCACUGUCCCCCACAGAAAGCUGGAAGCAGACAUGGCUGCUGCCCUUGGCAGGGUUGGCCUGGCCACACCAGGGCACCCAUGACAGGCAGGAACGACUUGGGCUUCAACAAGGGUCCCCACUUCUUUGCCACUGCUCCCCAUUUUUGAAACCAGAAUGUUCCGGAUUACCUCUGUCCAAGGCCUUCCUGGGUUCUGCAGAGACCUCUGGUUUGGAUAGAGCCAGGCGUGAGGCUGAGGGCAGAGCUUCUGGCACUCCCCACUCUCACCCUGCCCUGUGAAGAGCAGCCCCCUCUUACCGUGCUCUGCUCCCCCAAAAGGCAGCAUCUGAAGAGAGAAAUUCACAGUUUAACAAUUUGGGAAAAAAAAAAAAAAAAAGAACUAGUCACGUCCAGUGCUCAAAUUCUCUAAAUGGAGGCUCUAGUUUCAGAAAAAUGAAACACAGUUGAUGAAAACACAGGCACAUAAGUGACAGAAAAUGGUCUGCUUGCCAUUUGUAUCUGCCUGUAGGCAUCUGCCCAUCUGUCCAUCCAUCCAUCCACCCACCCAUCUGUCCAUCCAUCCAUCCGUAUUAGUUACUUUUCUCAUUGCAGAGACCAAAUAACCAACAUCCAAAGGUAAAGGCGGAAAUGUUUCAUCAGCUCCCAAUUUGCAGAGGCUUCAGUCCGUAAUCAGCUGGCUCCACGGCAGGGUGGCAUCGCAGGGGAGAAAUUGUUCAUGAUGGGCAGAAGGUAGUGAAGCAAGCGUGGGGGACGAUGCGUCUCCGUCUGUCCCUUACAUCAUAUCCAGGCUGCCCGGAUUAGGAUAGUGCCAAACCAGUCAGUGGACUGACUUAGUGAUCAUCGAUCCUUAACUCUAGCACCCUUAACCCUAAUAUCGCACCACAAGUCAGUUACACACUCUAGAUCCAGCCACCUCUGAACGAACCUCAUCUGUGGCCACAUGAGGCUUGGGGGACAUCUAGACCCAGGUCAUAACACAUCCAGCCAGCCAGCAGGUACUUGAGGCUCCUGUGUUUUGCCUUAUUCACCUUGGGGCCAAGGUAAUCUCUUCUAAGCCUUGGCAACAUGGAAGAGAAGGAGCCCGAGUUCCACACAGAUUGGGGUGCAGCUUCCUUUCUGCCCACUUCUGGCACUGAGUCUGAGAGAAUGGAAGCCGUACUUUCUCCCUCUGGGCCGGGUAGGGGCACACCAGGUUGUGCCUUCUCAGCACCGAGUGUGUGUUCUGCAGCAGUGAGUGGGGAGGCUCUGGCUGCGCCCCAUCUGGAAGUGCUCAGGGCCCCGAGGGAAGCACAUCUCUGCUCCCCUUGCAGAGAGACAGCCCGAUCGUUGCUGGCCAGAGCUGGCGUCUUCCUCUUCCCCCCAUUGUCUGGGAGACCUCGCGUGCACUUGUCCGGGAGAUUUCCGCAGGAAUCGUGGUGUCCAGCCAGCUGGGCACAUGACGCACACCCGGUCUCCACCUCUUUGCUCACCCUCUCCCCCAGUGAGGGUGCCUGCAUGUACCUGGUGCCAUGCCCACAGCUCACCCGGUCAGUUGUCACUUCCUGAGACAAGCCAGCCCUGAACUGUCUUUAUUUUUCAUCAGGCUGCCACAAGUUACAUGUGUACCCUCCACUUGUCCAUUGCCUGCCGCACCCCAUGGGCUGCAAACAUCAAUAUGAUUGAUGCUCCUCGCUGCAUGCUGGGCACUUAAAGAGAGGGCAUCAGCAGUGAGCAGCUGGGAAAUCCUGACCUCCUGACUUCAAGCUUGUAUAUUUGCUGAAAUCACCUACAACCACCUCAGAGUAUCAAGCUGCCUGAGUCAGGGUGGGGAUAACGCAGGCCAGGCCUUCCCCCCAGAGGGGUGGGAAUGAAGGGCCCGGUCCCCGGCCGUAUGUGAGUGGCUGUGUAUGGAUCUACUCAUCCCCAAGGUUGUUGAGGGGAACCACUGGACCCUGUAAGCUUCAGAGGCCAGACCCGAGUUCAAGCCCUGGCUCCACCUCUUUCUGGAGGUCUCAAGGCCUCUCUGAACCCUGGUUCCUGUCUGAGCCCGGUUUCAUGUGGGCCCUAGUUCCCUCCCUCAUUCAUGACUGAGGUGACUCCUGUUUGGCUACUCGAGCGCUGGAUUCAGGGAUGAGCACAUAGGACACCAACCCUGCCUGUGAGUGCUGGGACCUUGACCGAGUUACACAACCUUCUGGGCCCUCAGGUUUUCUACUCCUAAGGUUUGUGACAUUUUUGUGAGUUCAUGCAUGUAAGCUGUUUGGAUCUGCGCCUGGCACUAAUAAUGCCUGUAUAAUUUUAUGUGUCAUGUUCACCCUUUAAAAAUCUGCUAUGUGUAGCAGAAUGUACCCUUCAGUACAUAGAAUGUAAAUUGAGUCAAAUAAAAAUGUUAUUUGUGUAAGACUUGUCAAAUCAUGUGUAUAAAUAUGUACAAUAUGUAUACAUAUACACACACGCAUGCUCAGCUGAGAGUGUGAUUUUCUUCUGAUACACACUUCAUAAAGUGAAGAUACAUUUCAUGCCUCACCUGCAGAACAUUUGUGUGCAGUGGCAGGUGUUAGUCACAGCUUCUGGAGGUCAGGGACUGCCUGGAGAGCUGAGGAUGCUCUUCACCUUGACUGGGGCACGUGACAGAGGUCACAAUGGUCCUCUCAGCCGCACAGAACCUCAGUGAUUUCCCCCGUGGCUCACUGUUUCCGCCCAGCAUCGCAGGGGAGUCCUGAACCACACCCCCGCAGCCCAGGACAAGGUCUCAAUUCAACAUUCAUACUAGGGCUGCAUGGUCGUAAAACUGAAGAACCCUAAACUGAAUCACUGUAGGCUGGGGACCCUCUGAAUCUCCACCCAUGUGACCUCACUCUCCAGCCAAGCUGCUCCCCACCAGCUCUCCAGAGACUUCCUUACGUUCUGUGGUCAGUUUGGCCAACUCCCCUCGACCCCUCCACCUGUCACUCCAGAUAGGUGCUGUUUGUGAUCUUCUGCUCUGACUUGUUUAACCUGUUCUGCUUUCUUUUCUUUUCUUUUUUUUUUUUUUUUUGUGGUACCGGGAUCGAACUCACAACCUCAUACUUGCCAGGCCAAUGCUUAAGCCACUGAGCUAAAUCUCCAGCCCUCAAGGACCAUUCUUUGUAGUAUUCCUUAUCAUAUUUUCUAUUCCUCUUUAAAGUAUUUAUUUUUGUUCUAUUUAUUUAUGGGCAUCUUUCAGGACUAAAACACACUCAUUUAACCGUCAGCUCCUACCUGGAAUUAUAAUGCCCUUUCCUGUGUGAUGUAAGAAUUCUAAAAUAUUAAGCUUCCACUUUAGCAUUUUUCAAUCUAUGCUGCUGUCGUCAGAUAUGUCACCUCUUUAGGACAUAAACUCUACAACUGUAGGGUUGUUUCUGCUUUAACUGUCCACUUUGAUAGCUCUGCCGAGGUUUACAUCGUAAGUGCAUAGUUAAUGAUUCUUAGUAAAUUUAUGAUGUUGCACAACUGCUGAUGUAACUCCAUCAGCCCAGAAAACUCCUUAAUCCACUUUCAAAACUUAGCAUUGUCCCAGCCGUGAGUCAUCACUAAGAUGCUCCAUGGAUCUAUAGUUUCACCUUUGAUCUUUCACAUCAAUGGAAUCGAACAGUGUGUCCGCUUUUGCAAUAGAUUCUUUUAUUUAACACAGUGCAGUGGAAGUAAACUUACAUUUCCCUUGUUAAGGAACUGCCAACUUUCUUUCCAAAAAGGCUGAGAUACUUUACAUUCUCACCUGCAGUUAAUGAUUACUUUUCUUAAAUAAUAAGAAAGUAGGAAACACAGUCUUUUGUAUUAAUUUGCAUGUCUAGCUUUUAAGGUGAUCUUUCUUCCCUAAAAUUAAAGAGCUAAGUUUCUACGUAGAAUAAUUUCCCUUCCUCCUGAAUAUCUUAUUUUGUGUAGGUUUGCUGGCAAUGAGUUCUCUCAGUUGUAAUUCAUCUCAAAAUAGCCUUAUUUCAUUUUAAUUUUUGAAGGAUAAUUUUACUGGAUGUAGAAUUUGAGGUGAACAGGAUUGGCUUCUUCCUGAUUUUCAAAGCUGUUUUCCAUUGUUGCUUUGCUUGCAUUGUUUUCAAUAAGAAGUCAGGAAACGUUCUUAUUUCCAUGGUCCUGGAUAUUCGAUGAUUUAGUUGUUUUUUUUGAGACAGGAUCUUUCUUGUAGUUCAAGGCUUUGAACUCACUAGUAGCCCAGGCUGGUCUUGAACUUGUGAUACUCCUGCCUCAGCCUCCUGAGUGCUAGGAUUAUGAGUAUACCACCUUGCCUGGUGUCCUAUCACAUCUUAAGCCUUUUUCUUUUUCUGGUUCUUUAAAGUUAUGUUUCAUUGCUUUUUAAAAAUCAGUGUCAUUGUAACGGUCUAGCUGUGGUUUUCUCUGCAUUCUUUUUUCUUUGUUCCUCCAGUUACAAGUCUAUAAACUGUUUGAUCUCACACCAGGGGUGACCAAUGCUGUCUUCAGCGUUUUUUCCCAAUCUUCUCUUCAGUGUCAGUGUUGGUUUAUUUAUUUAUUUCUUUUUUCUUUUUCCUUUUUAUUGGUACUGAGGAUCAAACUCACGACCGCCUGCUUGCAAGGCAGGUGCUUAUGCCGCUGAGCUAAAUCCCCAGCUCCUAGUGUUGGUUUAUUUUUGAUCUGUCUUCAGGUUUAGUGAUCUUUUUUCUCUUGGGUCAAAUCUACUGUUUAGUCAAUAUAUUUUCAGUUCCAAUAUUUUAAUUUUAAUUUUUUGAAUUGCCAUUUUGUUAUUUUUCAGCUUCCUAAAGUACACUUCUACAUCCAUUGUAUUUUAUUCUAUAACUAUAUAUAUAUGUAUAUAUAUAUAUAAUAAAACUCUUAAAACACUUUAGAAGAACUAUAUAUAUAUUUCUAUUAACAGUCAUUUCUGCAUUUAUUACUUGUGGUUUUCCUUUUGAUUAUGGGUCACAUUUUCCCUUUAUCUCUUGUUUAGUGUUUCAUUUUACUAUAUUCAUGGAAAUUAGGUAUAAAAUCAAUUGUGUUUGAGCGCGAUUCUGCGCUCGUUUUUGUUUCCUAGAAAGUCUGAUAUGCUCCCCGCUGCCUGUGAUGAGACAGAGGGAGCAGCUGACCACUUGGAGUUCUUUGAGCGAGUAAUUGAGCUGGGGAUGAGAAGGCGCUUUAAUUAGUCUGAGUUACCUGUAAUUAGCUCAGCCACCAACAUCCUCUGCCUUUUUUUUAUUAUUAUCUUGUCAGCAUUUGAGGUAGGAGGAGUCGGCUGCAAUUUCAGAUAUUUUGGGUUCUCAUUUAAAUCCGGUGACUUCGGGGCCCUGCAGUCCAAUCACUAGGAGAAUGUGCACAACGAUCCCUGUUUGCUCUGCUAAUGUGCCUGUCCUCCAGCUCUGCCUUCUAGAAGGGAGCCGGGCAGUGCAGGUGAGGAGGCCGAACUGCUGGACUGUGAUCUUCCUUGCGUUGGAGGCUGGCCCGUCUUGUGGCCUUGGUGACGUCUUGUACUUGGGAUUCUUCCAAACUCUGAUUUGACCUGCACGCUGGCCCAAGGCUGGGAUGAUUUUCUCUUGUCUUUGUACAGCUCUCUGUCAGUGCAGAUACACGAAGCGGUGCCUCCCCAGGAAAGGCGGCUGCUCGGCAUUUAUUUCUUCCUGGAAAUCAGUUCGCUGGGGCUUGAUUCCCAUGUUCUUCCUUAGUUCCACAAAAAGUUUGCUUUUUUUUCUGUUUCUUUGUUGUUGUUGUUGUUGCCAUAAAGACAAAGAUCUACUACACUCUCGAUCUUCAGCAGAGGUGUAAAUCGCCAUCAGUGUCAGCUAUUACUAUUAGCGGACACAGUCUUUGGUAAAAUAAGCCAGGAAGAGUAUAAUUUUAGCACUGAAGAUGAAUGCUAUGAUACAGAGGUACAUGGUUCUCUUGGAAUAUUCCCUGGCAAAACAAUCAUUUUGCAGCUGAGAAAACUGGAGACGAGCGGAGGAGCUGAUCCAAGGUCACACACGUCACUAGUAGACAGCAGUGUCGGUGUCACCCAAUUCCAGAACCCCAGCUUUUGCCCAUUCUCCUACAAAUGUGCCACACACACAAUAAACACUUGAUAAAUGCAACGACAUAAAAUAUGCGACCCUUAUCUGACUUAGGACUGAGGACAUAGUACCUGGAUAAUACAACAAAUAAUUACUGAAUGAAGAAACAAAUCCUCACCUUGUCUCUCUCUGUCUCUCUGUCUCUGUCUCCCACCCACCCACCCACACACACCCUCAGUCUGACCUGGCAGAACAGCCUCCUGUUGAAUGGUUCCGAGACGUUCCUGGCACACAUCGAGCUUCCUCCCCUUCUCAUCCGGCAGCCGGGUGCUCUGGGGCACUGGCAAGGGGACAGAAAGGGAAGUCUCCAGGUUUCAGAAUGGUCUCACGUUUGCAGACAUCGUGCCCAGGGCUUCCAGGCUCCUGGCUGUAGGAUGACUUCUGUAAGGUGAACAUGCUUGUCUCCUUCGUAAUCCAUGUGGAGAUUUCAUUCCUAAUGCAAUGGCUUUGAGCCACAUUUGGGUCACAAAGGCGCUAUCCUUGCAUGGGAUUGAUGCUACUCUCGUGGAGGACCAGGUCAGUUCUGGGGACACUACUGAUUUCUCUGAGGUCAUUGAAGAGAUAGAUUUGUGCUGGUAUUGUCCGGACACCUGAAGGCAGAAUGUCUUGUGCUCUGGGUGAGUGAUUUGGGGAUGACAAUGUGCAAUGUAUCUACCAUUGUUGCCCCUUUAUUUACAUGUUUUGAAUUUUUUUUUCUUUUUUUUCCUCUUUGAAAUCAAAUACAUUUGAGGCCAUUUGUGGACUGCGGGGUAAGAGAACAAGCAAUCACCAAGAAGCAAGCCCUCCCUGAGAAUCAGCACCAUGUGUGGGCUGCUGGGGGGACAGCCAGACCCCAGCGCCUUCUGGCCCAUGGGCUGGGAAGCAAAAAGAGCCAACAUCACCCCCCACCCUGACAUCACCGGCUGAUCUGGAGACACUCAGGCUGAGACGACAGCUAUUCAGGUCUCAAAACUCAGCAGCUGAAGGAGGUAGCAGCUUGGUCUAGGAGAGGAAAAGGCUGCCCCCAAAAAGCUAAGGAAGAACAGUGAACCAUCGGAUCCCAUUCUCGGCCAUGUUACAGGUGACAACUCCUUCCUGCCCAACAGAGACCUCCAGGCUUGUUUAUUCUCUGGUGAUCAUAAAACAGGGACACCUCCACAGAGACCUCCAGGCACAGGGCACCAUCUGUAAAUGGGGAGGACGUCCAAACAGUACAGUUGUACAUGGAGCCUGAGAUCACAGCUGUGCUGCUUCAGAGCCCUGGCAUCUGGGCAUCUGACUUCCAGACAAGAGAAUGGCACAGUGUCUGCUCGGAACUGAUGGAUAAAUGGGCGAAAUCUGGAGACCCUGACAACAGUCCUCUCUGCAACUGCUUAAACCCUCCUGCCCACCUCGGGCUCUGGCUCUGCCUGUGUGUCAGGAGGAAAAUAAGGGAUCGCUGGGCAUCCCUGAAGGUCUCUGAUGAGAACACAGAGGCCUAAACAGACACAUGAGCUUGAUGGGAGGAUGGUACCCAUGCCUGGUUAUUAUAAAUCUCAAGAAUGCAGUCAUCCUGCAGACAAUGCCCUCUCAAACCAAAGACCGAUCACAGCAGAAAAUGCAUCCAUAAAGAAAGAACACAGUGCCACAAAGCAAAGGAACA